Molecule: long non-coding RNA, 5469 nt
Filed under: Setaria italica (foxtail millet)
Lineage: Eukaryota; Viridiplantae; Streptophyta; Magnoliopsida; Poales; Poaceae
Description: long non-coding RNA (SITA_LNC002493)
Source: RNAcentral
CUCGAAUGCUUUGUGCAACCAGUAAGAAGCCUGUCCCAGAGCAAACGAUCAGCUGAGCUUCAAAUUUUGAAAGGAAUUGAUGGCUACAUCAUGCCGGGUUCUAUGACUCUUGUCCUUGGUCCACCUGGUAAUCAACCUGGUUCAGUUCAACCAUUUACAAUAUGUUCCUCUAUUCAAAUUUCAAAAUAAGUAUUAGUUUGAUCACUGGAAUUUGAAGAUAAAUGCAAAAAAGUUCCUUCUCGUUGUAAAAGAGCAAAAUAGCCCCUAUUUUUUUUGACUAUACCCAUCUCUUCUGUUUGCAGGCAGUGGAAGGAGCACCAUGCUGAAGAUACUUGCUGGUAGAGCCAAUCCAAGUCAAGAUUCUGGACUGUCUGGCAUAGUCAUCUACAAUGAAAAGACAGUAUCCGAAGUUCAAAAGAGUCGACUGAUUGCCUAUGUCUGUGGUCAGCUCAACAAGUAAGUCAAUUAAGAUUAUAAAGACUUCAAGGUUAUAAAAAUCUAGCAAAACCAGCCUUAUCUAAAUGAUAUGAACUUAGGUUACAGCUAGAGCAUAUAAUAUGAUUAAUUCAAAUCAAGCUAUCUAGUGACAAACUGUUCCUUCCUUUGGGGGAAAAAUGGAGAAUGCAUGAAAAACAAAAGCUUAUAACAGCACUGGAUGGAGGGAGGGCCAGAGGGAGUAUUUAAUGACGAAGGCACACAAAAAAACCCCACUGUCCAUAUGGUACUUAGGGGGAGGGGAGGGGUUUAGUUACAAGGUAAAAAGUAACUAUAACUUUGUAUAUUGUCACAUCACAGAUUUGCGAAGAGAACAAAAAGGGACAAAUGUUAAAGAGUUGUUGUACGACUGCCACAUAUUAUUGCUUUCGUAAUAACUUAAAUAUCCUUAACUCUAUGUCUAUCUUUUUUUUUUGAACAACGGCAUCACUAACUCUGAUUCCUCCCCUAGGCACAUCCCUUUCCUCUCAGUCCGAGAAACUCUUGAGUUUGCAAGAGACUGCACGCAAGGUCUCCGGCCUGAGAAUUUCACGCCACAGAUGCGAAAGUUCUUCGCCUAUGCACUUGUGGAAGGACAGGAUCCUUUCCUUGAAUAUGUCAUGCAGAUCCUUGACUUGAAGAAAAUAGAGAAUUGCCUAGUUAGUGGCAUAUCAGAUACUGACAGGGAUAAGCUGUCGAUAGCCGAGCUUGCAGUGGGGACCUACUCAGUCAUGGUCUAUGACCAGCCAUUGACAGGCUCAGAUCCAGCAAUGACCUAUGAUUUGGUGAACACUAUAAGGACUGUCUGUAGAAUCCAACAAUCAUCUGCAGUCAUGGCCCUCAAUCACCUCUCUCAAGAAGCAUUUGACCUCUUUGACAGGAUAAUCCUACUUGGAGAAGGGCAUGUGCUGUACCAAGGCCCAAGACAGGAUGCAGUCACAUACUUUGCUCAACUAGGGUAACUAACUAUAUUUUUUCCUUCAAAUCUUCAGGUAAAACUAUUGACGCUAAAAAAUAUAAAAAACUGCUGUUAGGUAUAUGAAGCCUCCACAUGUGGAGUCCUGGGAGUUUCUCCAAGACAUCGCGGCAGAAAAUGGCCUGCAGUACCUAUUGCGAAGGUCAAAUCCACGAGGCCUGGAGGAGUUAGUGGAAUGCUACUACUCAUCAGAUCAUUACCUGGAUGUCAUAAGAAUCAUUGGCAAGAGCAAAGAGUUCAGUACAUAUUGGGUUGAGAGCGAGCCAGGAAUUGGCUUAUCCUUGAAGGAGUCAACCACAUUCAAAUCAAAUAAGACUAAACAUCAAGAAACAGGUUAGUUUUUCUUUUUUGUUCAAGUUGCUAGAAGUGAAGAACCAAACUGUUUGUUCAUACAUUUAAGGCUAACACAGUGUUACUGCCCCCAUUUUCCAUUCAGAAGUAGUUGUUGCAAAACUUCUGAACAAAUCUGGAUCUACUAGUGGGAUUGAAAGUUCAGGAAACAUCCAAGUUGGUGACGUGGUGACGGGAAUUUCCAUAAAUGAAGAGCCACUGCAGUAUCUGGCAACUGGACCAAUACUUGACCACAAGGAACACCUAAAUCAAAUUUUCUCCGCUCUAUGUCAUGCCCGAGGACAUAUCCGUCUUCAGCUUGAACGAUCUGACAAUAAGGCAGGUCAAUCUAUUAACUUUUUUUUUCCAGAACUCAAUUUUCCGUGGUAAAUAAUAAGUUUUACGCGUUUGGAAUUUUGCCAUCAUAAACUUGACAAUUUAUCCAAACAAUUCAAUACCGAAUUUUCCACAUGAUAAUAAAAAUACUGUAGAGCGAUGAGGAUGAAAUGCGAUGGGAGCAAUUUAAGAGGCCAUAUGUGCAACCAUGGUGGAAAUCAACAAGAACCCUGAUCCAGAGACAGCUUAGGAUCUUGAAACAACUUCACGUGUUGAGCACACUUAGAGUCAUUCAGGUUUGCCAAUUGUUAAAAACAUGGCAGAUGCAAAAGGACUGCUACUUGGUUUGCCAUGACAGGGAUAAGACAGAUUACUGAAGUUUUUUUUUUUUGUCAGGCAUGCAUUCUUGGUUUAUUUGCUGGGACACUGUUCUACAAGCUUGGUGGGCAGUAUAAUCUUCAACAUAUGAACUCUGUGAGAGCUCUUGGGUUUGUAAGCACCAUGAGCAUUUUGCUCAUAAAUAUGCCUCAGCUCCCUCUAUACAUGCUUCAGAGACCCACGUUCUAUAAACAUAGGGACCAAAGAUUUUUCAGGACAUCCUCAUAUGUUGUUGCCCAUUCCAUCACAAAUCUGCCACAGGCUUUUAUUGAGGUAAUGUCAUCCGUCGAUCUUUUUGGUCAUCAAUUGUUAACAUCUGCACUAUACAUUCCAUAUGGUACUUGGUCCUAAACAUAAGAACCAUUCUAGUAUAAUGCAAAGAUGUCAUAAUUAAUGCAGGCACUCCUUUAUUCAGUUUUUGUAUAUUUUCUAGCGGGGCUGACAAUGGAAAACAAUGGAGCAGUGUUCCUCCACUACUUAGUUCUGAUGUUUCUUGUGGCAUACUUUGGAUCAUCGAUCUUCUUCUUUCUGAGUGCAGUGGCAUCCAUUCCUGAAGUAGCAAAUGCAUCGGCAGGUAACUAGUUCUUCUAUCUUUGUAACGCUAAUUAACUACGAUAAGCUGGUAUUACAAAAUUUAUUUAGCCUGGUUUAAUUCCAGUAAAUUCUAUCAAAAUUAACACAGAUAAUCAAUCUGACAUACUGUACUGGACUGCUACCUACAUGCAGGCCUCAUAGUCUCCAUUUUCCUUCUGUUUAGUGGGUUUGUGAUUUACCCAUCUAAUAUCCCUCAAUACUGGAGGUGGCUAAUGCAGAUUAAUCCAAUUCGUUGGGCCAAUAUCUCCUUCUGCAAUCAACAGUUCUCAAAUGGUUAUAAAGACUCCUGCAUCAAAUAUCUGAACCAACUUACUUUCUGCAAAGGAAAUCCAGCGAUGACUUCUGGCGAGGCCUACUUAAUCUAUGCUGAACUGUUUACAAGUGUUUCAGGAAAACCAUAUGUCCCUUAUAUAAUUCUUAUCGGUUGGACGCUACUCGCUCUGUUAAUGGCAUUGGUGUUCCUAAAUAAGAUAGAUUUUUCACAAAUCAGUCAAUCUGUACCACAGAUUAAUGAAAGGAAGUUUUCAAAAAACUACUUAUAUGAUGUGGAAGUUUAUUCAAGAUCACUUGAUGGAUAUAUGGAAGAUUCUACUGAGUCAGGCAGAUACAAGUCUCAGGAGCCACCAAAGUUAGCAUCUAGUUCCACAAUAGUAAUUUCCGAGGGUGAGAAUGGUAGUGUAGGGAGCUGGAGGGAAGAAUUCAGAGUUGAAGUCGAAUCAGAACACCUGACAAUACCAGUGACACCAAUCACUUUAACAUUCUUGGAUCUAUCAUUUUUUAGGUAAUAUUCCAAUUCAUUGCUCAAUAGUUCUAUGCUAGCGUAUUGUUUCAUAACUGUGCACUUGAAAGUUAGCAAAAUAUCAUUCAGAAUAUAGUUAUGAAGCGGCGCGCACGGAAACAUUAAGUUAUGAAACAAUACUUGAAUCAAUGCAACUUCAUGAAGAUAGAUAUAGGUUCAAUAAAGUUUUUUUUUAAAAAAUAUACUUCAAUUCCUUAUCACAUGAAGUAUGACAGCUUUCUUGGGACAGGUGUGGAAAAGUAACAAAGGAAGAAGCUAUAGAUUUUGAGAAUAUCAGUGGAUAUGCGAAACCAGGAACUAUGCUAGCUCUUGUAGGGGGUGCUGAUGGAAGUGCAGCUACACUUCUCAAGUGCCUUUCAGGAAGGAAACCUCCAGGUGGCAGUUUUACUGGAGAUAUCCUAGUCAAUAGCACCAAACCCUCAGCUGAUUUCUCAAGAAGUGUGGGCUAUGCUGAGCAGCUUGAUGCUCAUCAACCAUACCUCACCAUACGUGAGUCACUUCAAUUCAGUGCCAGCCUUAGACUAACAAAUGUCAUUAGCAAAACAAGAAGGCAUAUACAUGUUGAAUUAGUUCUUGACCAGCUGGGCUUGCAGUACUAUGGCAACCACUUGGUUGGUUCCUUGAGAGAUGGCACUGGGAAAACAUUUGAAGUAGCAAAGAAGCUUACAAUUGCAGUUGAACUUGCAGCAAACCCAAGUAUUCUAUUCCUUGAGGAGCCUAUUUCAGGUCUUGAUUCGUCUGGAACCUCAGCAAUCUUGAGCAUCCUAUCACAGUUACCAGUUUCCGGUCAAACAGUCAUAGCGACAGUUAGUCAUCCCAACACCCGUGCACUUUCAUACUUCCAUCAAGCCAUCAUCCUAACUCAAGAAGGCCGUCAAGCUUACUUCGGUCCAGUAGGACUCAACUGCCAUGAAAUACUCGGAUACUUUACUGCGAUCCCAAGGGUGCCUCCUUACAUCCAGACACAAAAUCCUAUCAGUUUCGUUAUGGGUGUAACUGGACUUGGAAUUCAAAGAAGAAGAACUGCAGUGAUAGAUUUUGCGGAAGAGUUUCAAAAUAGCCAUUUGCAUGAGGUGGCCAUGAAGGUCGUUAACACUGCUAUGAAGAACAAGAAGUUUGGGAAAGAAAAGGACAGUAACAUGAUAUCCAUUAGUUACAACUAUCCAGCAUCGUUUAUAAGGCAAAUAGGGUUGGUUUUGUUGAGGACACAGAGGUUCUUAUGGAGGAACGUGAACUACACUUACAGCAGGUUUACUGGUUGCGCAAUGAUUGGAUUACUGAUGGGCUCACUCUAUUUCAAGAUUAAGUAUGAAGACACAUACGGGGUGACUUCUAGAUCACUGUACACCUACAUGCAAACUAUACUCAUCGGGGUCAUAUCUGCUAAUAAUGUGAUUCCUCAAAUUGGCACUGACAGGCUCGCCUACUUCCGAGAAAUGAGGUCCAAGAUGUACCUUCCGAUAUCCUACCCAGUGUCAUGGGUGAUCAGUGAAAUCCCCUACUUCCUCGUAGCAACAUUGGCAUUUGUUGGCAUUGGCAAUGGCAUGGCAGGGAUAGCAACAGAGACAGCCACCGAUUUCCU